CCCUUAGAUGUUCUGGGCCGCACGCGCGCUACACUGAUUCAUGCAACAAGUUUUGUCCUUGGCUGAUAGGCCUGGGUAAUCUUUGAACGUGAAUCGUGAUGGGGAUAGAUGAUUGCAAUUAUUCAUCUUCAACGAGGAAUUCCUAGUAAACGCAAGUCAUCAGCUUGCAUUGAUUACGUCCCUGCCCUUUGUACACACCGCCCGUCGCACCUACCGAUUGAAUGGUCCGGUGAAAUCUUCGGAUCUGAGAGGUGUCUGAUUAAUUUCGGACGCCUUUUGGAAAAGUUGUUUAAACCUUACCAUUUAGAGGAAGGUGAAGUCGUAACA
RNAcentral lists this ribosomal RNA (327 nucleotides) under uncultured eukaryote. RNAcentral's name for it is "partial 18S ribosomal RNA". It matches the Rfam family "Eukaryotic small subunit ribosomal RNA", at positions 1470 to 1796 of the family's 1831-position model. The record is from RNAcentral.